This 468-nucleotide ribosomal RNA is filed under the name uncultured bacterium. RNAcentral's name for it is "partial 16S ribosomal RNA". It matches the Rfam family "Bacterial small subunit ribosomal RNA", at positions 28 to 507 of the family's 1533-position model. The record is from RNAcentral.
GACGAACGCUGGCGGCGUGCUUAACACAUGCAAGUCGAACGGAAAGGCCCUGCUUUUGUGGGGUGCUCGAGUGGCGAACGGGUGAGUAACACGUGAGUAACCUGCCCUUGACUUUGGGAUAACUUCAGGAAACUGGGGCUAAUACCGGAUAGGAGCUCCUGCUGCAUGGUGGGGGUUGGAACGUUUCGGCGGUUGGGGAUGGACUCGCGGCUUAUCAGCUUGUUGGUGGGGUAGUGGCUUACCCAGGCUUUGACGGGUAGCCGGCCUGAGAGGGUGACCGGCCACAUUGGGACUGAGAUAGGGACCAGACUCCUACGGGAGGCAGCAGUGGGGAAUAUUGCACAAUGGGCGGAAGCCUGAUGCAGCAACGCCGCGUGCGGGAUGACGGCCUUCGGGGUGUAAACCGCUUUCGCCUGUGACGAAGCGUGAGUGACGGUAAUGGGUAAAGAAGCACCGGCUAACUACGUG